Long non-coding RNA from Mesocricetus auratus (golden hamster), 8425 nucleotides. RefSeq lists it as uncharacterized. The record is from RefSeq and is a predicted model, not a curated record. The transcript has 2 exons. Lineage: Eukaryota; Metazoa; Chordata; Mammalia; Rodentia; Cricetidae.
CUGGCACAUGGAAGGAUGUCAGGAUUGGGGCAUGGGAAGGAAGGAGACUCACUCACCAGAGGCUCCAACUCGGAAGGAAAGGGAAGGCAGAGGUAACAGUACACGCCAAGCUUGGAGGAGAGGCCGCCACUUACGGACUGUGAAGGGAACCCGGCCAUUGUGGUGAAAACGGAGGUGACAACCAGGAGGGUGAGCCCCAGCCUCUGCCAGCCAGCCGAGAGCCAUGGACCCCAGAGGGAGCUGCUCUUACCUGUCUUUUCCUUCUGGGAAGUAAGGGGUUAGCUCAAGCCAUCCCCGGGAGGGCAUUGAUGUGUGCUGGUUGCAUAAGCAGAGAGCCAGUGCCUGCCAAAGUGCUCAGAUGCCACCAGUGCUGACCACUAAGGGGAGAGGGAGCCCUAAGCCACCUUCUCCCCGUAAGGGAACCCCCGAGAGUGGAAUUUUCUGUAAAAUACUGGAUUUUGAAAUGUGUACAAUAUGGUGGGGCGGGGCGCUCACAUUUUCCCACACUCCCUCUUUCUGUGCAGGAAGCCUCCUGGCUGGCAGAGACUAGAGUGAGAAUCAGCCCAUCUCCCUUUACUUGGGGUUAGGGUAAUGGGUACAAACUAAGGUGCAGCAAUCUGAGUUAAACAAACAAACAAACAAAAGUUUGGGAAGGAAAUGAGGCAGAGGCACUCCCUGCAAACUGUGGGAAAGCAGCCUGGUGGAAUCCACUUGCUGGCACUGGUGGCUCCCACUAGACCAGGGAGAAGCAGCUGCGUGGGUAGACGGGCCUCAGGCCACCAGCUGCCAGGGAGAGACAGCUAAAGGGCCUGGAACACCCACUGGCUCCUCCUUUUCAGAGGCCUCUCUGUCCCCUACCUCCCAGGGAGUCCUCGGCCUUCUCGCUUCCAGAGAGAAACCAAGGCUCUGGCCUUCCUGCCUGAACACAGUCUCCAGGUUUCUCCUCAGAGAGGACCAGGCUCACACUAUCCUGUUUCCCAGAGGAGACAGCUCUUGUCAGUGGGGUCUUGCCAGGCCUGUUGGCUCCCAGGCCCCCUGUGGCCUCUCUUCAUCCCUUUCAGCCUGUUCCAAACCGAGCAGCUGGGGACUUCAGUCCAAGGGUCAUAUUUCCAACCCUGUUUCUCUGGAACUGCCCACACUGAAUUUUGUUCCCUAUGUGGUAUGUGAGUGGAGAGGACUUACGGGUGUUUGAUACAGCAAGGAGCAUGUGAAAUAAUAGCCACGGUUUACCAUGGACCUACUAAGUGCCAAAGAGCAGCAGACAUGACCAUUCCCAUUUUAUAGAUGAGGUAACUGAGGCUCUUAAAGUCCAGUUCACUUCCCCAGGUUCCCACAAGAGAGCAUUAAGUAAUGGAGAGGAGGGCACUCCUGUGCACAGACCCCCUCAGUGAGCAAUCCCAUGGGUGGGUAACAAUACCAUCCUGCCUCCUAGUGGCCAGGCCACUGGCUCAGCUCACUACAGGGCAGGGAGGCCUCUCCCCUCUCCUGUCAUCCCAGGGGCCAGACAGCUGAUUAUUUCAAGAAAUGGCCUUGACCAGCCACUCUGGGGCACUGAGGUCUCGGAGCAAAUGGAAGCAGCUGGCUCCCAUUCUCAGACCUUGUCACCUCUCACCCAAGGAGUGGCUUGGACAGAGCCAGGGGCACACCCCUCACCCACGCUGACCAGGUGGAACACGAUGCUUGUUGACUCCUGCCUGGUCAGGGGCAACUGUGGCCCUCACCCUACAACCCUGGCUCCCCCGGUGGCGACUGGCCACAACCACCAUUCCUGAUCGUUCAGCUCUGCAGAUGCAGCAUGGAAACUGUUUGUAUUUGGGAAGUGGCCCCAGGGACAAUGUAGUGAUUCGCACAGCUUAUCACCUGGAACCACUUCCUUUAAUUUUGUAAGUCAAGGGAGAUGCAGAUGGCAGAGCCCUUCAACCUGGCAAUCCCUUCCCAGUCCUGCCAAAUUUUGAUUGUUCAUUGGAAUUUGCAGGCGAAUACUAACACACACAAGUAGGUGCACUAACCCAUGACUCUCCCAGUCCUAGACACCGACACCCUUCCUCUAAGAGUGCUCAUAGCUCAUGCUUGUCAUGACAACUAGCUAAACAAAGGUUUGUCUCUCCUUCGCCUGCAAAAAGCACGUUUCCCUGUUCCGGGACUGUGUGUCGUCAGGUGUUGCAAGACUCAACAGGAGCUCUUCCAGCCCUGGUGGCUUUGAGUGGCAGGGACAUCCUCUGCUGGGAGUGAGGAAUUCUCAUGUGGUCCUGGCCCCUGCCAUCACUGCUUCUAGAAUGAUCUCAGAAACACAGGAAUCCUGAUUCAAAACCGAAAGUGUGAACACUAGCUGCUGCACCCUACACCAUGAAUUUACAUAUCCGUUUUCACCGCAACUCUUAUAUUGCUUAAAUGUAGAAAACAACUAUUUGUGACACUCUUAGAUCUUUUAUCUAAGAAUCAUAUUUAAUCUAAUAUACUUAAAUAUGCACUGUUCCCUCCAACCUUGAUGACACCGGGCAUGCGUUGAGAUCCCAGCAAGCCUUGCCUUUCUAGGGGUGGACCUCCACCUUCCCUCCCCGCCUUGCAGCUCAGGUUCCUAUUGAGAAAACCAAACAAUUCAUUAUCGUGGAAGCCUGCGCCUGUGUCUACACAUAAAAUUAAGAAAGAAUCAAUAAAAUGUGACACAAGUAACUUCUGAUUCCAGCAGGUGCUGUAGGUCAUAGGUAGAGAUCAAAACCAUCACGUCCUUUAAUAUUUUAUUAGACUAGACAGAUGGCCCCCUUCCUAAAAAUUGGUAUUCUGAUAACAUUAUCAAGAGCUACAUGGAAAAAUGUUUUGUGCCUAAGGGACCACAAAUAAAUACAUGCUUAAGUGCAACUAAAGAAAUUUAAUUAUGUGUAUGAACAUUUAUACUAAAUGGUUUCUCCGGGAAGCCAAUGGGAAAUUACAGCUAACAAGUGCACCAGAAUAAGGUCUGUUGUUGAGGGUUAUUAGCCUAAUCACAUAAUCCAAUUCCACUUCCAACCACAGUCCUGUCAUUUGUCCAAGUCAAAAUAAAACCAUUGUCAAACCUUAAUGAAACCAGAACCGGGGGAGGGAAUCGAGGACAAAGUCUUUCUUUUUAAAAACAGGCUUCUAACCUAACUUUUCUCCUAGUUCCAAAAACAGUUCAAAGAUCUGAACUGUCUUUUAAAAAAAAGGGGGGAGGGAGCGCCUGGGACUUCAAUCCACAGAUAUUUUUCUUUACAAAAGUCACCAAUAAAAGGGGAAGUAAACAGAUUGGUUUUGCUCUCAAAAUUUGGCGAGGCAAACUUGUUCCAAGGCUGAGGUGUUUCUCGCCAGCUUUAAACCCAAGGUGCAUUUUUAUAGCCAAGAACCAGGGCCCUGAAACGGAGUAACGGAAACGCUGACCUAGCCUUCGCUCAGCAGCACGGACGGCGCCGCUGUAAUUUAUGGAGAACACAUUUUGGUUUUGUCAGGUUUUUAAACAGAGACUGUUAUAAAUUUGAAGAAGCACUGUCCUGUUAGGUCUUCAAGCAGCAUGUGUUAGUGUUGUUAAGCGUCCAUCCUCCGUGUAGAGCGGCGUUCCUGUCUGAAGCCUCAUUGCAAUGGCAGUUCACCCCAUCAGCGAGAGAGAAUGCCAAGCCCAGAUUUGUUCUGAAAACGGCGUUCACUGAUGGAAUGCAUCACAGCCAUUGUCACCAUGAUGGUGACCAGCUGCAAGGCACUGGCAAAGGCACCCAUCUUUGAGCAGAGUUCUCCUCAUGCUUUCCUUGGGAAGCAGAAGGUAUAUAACAGGGUUAUUGGGGACACUGAGAGGCGGAUCUCAUUCUAGCCAACGGGAACGGAAUGCUGCCCUCUAGAAUCUCUGGUUUUGUAGAAAGGUUGUUUUGCUUUGUUUUUACUCAUGUGUGUGUAUAUAUGUGUGCAUGCACAUUUUCAGGUGUCCUUGGAAAACAGAAGAAGGCAUCAGAUUUCCUUGGAGCUACUUACAGGAGGUUGAGAGCCAUCCAACAUGGGUGCUGGAACUGAACUCAGUCCUCUGGGAAGGUGACCAGUGCCGUUAACCCCUGAGAGCCCUCUCUGUCCCUCAUGCAAGAUUUUGUUUAGAGUUUUGGCUAUGAACGUUAUGCAUUCCCAAGAACACAACCUUAUUAGCAAUAGGGAGAGAAGCCUUGACAAUUACUCACACAGCAGCCAGCAAGGAGCUCCUUCUGCUCUUUUGUGGAGACUGUUGGAUGGGGAAGAAGUAGAGAGGGGUUCGUCAGGGUCUAGGGACAAACACAGAUCACCUCUUCACAUGGGAUUGAUUUCUGUAGGGGAAGGAAUAGGUUAGUGGGGAAUCCUGAAAUCCAAGCCAUCAACCACUCUUCUAUGCUCCUGGCUAAUGCUUGCCCAUUGUAAAGAGGGUGACUUGUGAGUCUCAUGAAGGAGCUCUUCAUGAUGACUUCCCAUGCCCAUUAUGGGCUUUUGAAUGCUCUUGUUUUCUGAAGCAGUUGUCAUUAUUGCAAAAUAGACAGUAUGAUCAACAUAGAGAUCUGGAACUUGGACUUCUGUUUCCCCUAUCAUUUCUUAAACUGAAGCCCUGGGAUUUGAACUCAGAGAUCCACAUCAUGAUGUUGGUAUGGCAGACCCUGGUAAGGAGCAAGGCCAAGGAUCAACUGGUCAGUAAGAGGAGCAUAAAGAAGGGUAGAGGGAGAAGGAAGAGAACACUAUGAAAAAAUUAGCCCAACUAUGACAUGAAUUGUGAUGUGUCCAUGCCACAUAAGAAAGGUGACCAUAGAAGUCAUGAUUCUAGCUAACAUUUAUGGUACACUCACAGGGCUGUGAAUCCUUGAUUUCACUCUUGUAUUGGAUGAGGAACUAAGCCUUCACCAAGGGCAGUUUUCCAAGGUAAGCUUCAUUUCUAGGACAGCUCUACUCUAUAUCAUGCUGUGGAUUAGUUAUCAGCAGUGUUCUAUCUGUGCCCAUAGUGUUGAGUCAUCAUGGCCAGGCAGGGUCACACCACCAGAAUUUGGACUCCUACAGUUUGACACCAUUAUGUUGCAUAUUUGCUACAAAAUUUUGUGUGUGGGGGUGGGGAAAUAGAGAGCAAAAUUGAAUGUGUAUAUCAUUGUGAUUGUGUAGGCAGAAGGAAGCAUGAAUAUGAUUAGGUACAGACAGGAUUCUAAAAAGAAUUCUUUCUACUUUAUAUGUUUUCUAAAUUUUCUUCAGCUCUAAUAUAUGACUUUUCUAAUGAAAAUAAUGUUUUAAAAAUUUAGCCAUAAACCUGUAGUAUUUUAUAGACUCUAUCAGAAAGUCAAUUCAAUGAAGCCAAAAAUAAAUGAAGAAGGAAGAGAAGAAAAUCCCUUGAGCAAGAGUCAUGAAACCAGAGACAGGAAUCUGUGACUACUCUACCUGGCCUGAUGUCCCUCUGAGCUCAAACGCCAUGUCCUUGAACCUCAAAAGGGUCAACUCUGAGGAAGAACACUUGCCAAUGGCCACCAAAGAGAGAUUCCAAUCACGAAAGACAUUUUAUACAACUGGAGUGAUUUUAAAACAGGUAGAACUUAGAUGAUACAGAGGCCUAGGGUGUGCUGGUCAUGAAGGAAAACUGACCAGAAGAUAAUGUACUUCAGGUCAAAAUGAGAAAAUAUGUAAAGAUAAAAGAUUGCUUGGAAGGUGUGUACUUUAUAACAAAUGAAAGAAAAAAGCUGUAAUUACAAGGAAGUGCACAUUAAUACAUUGCAAGUUGGUGAGGGCAACUUCUCUUUUGGUCUGCAGCACUGCUAAAUUAAACAUGGGGCAGUUGCUAAUAUUUGCAUCAAACAAAAAUUCUAAGGAAAAAUGUCAACAAACUGUCAAAAUUCCACUUAAUAAGUAAAAGCGCCAAUGGGCAGUAUGGCAGUUUCAUUCACAUGCCUGUGAGCUACCUGGGGCAACCCAGCAUCAUUUAAAUACACAGGGAUUGAGUUAUAUACACAUAAUUAACUGCAACUCAAGUAAAGGAGAAAACUAUCCAAAUCUGCAUUCAUCUUUAUUGGCUUUUCCACUGGUCAUAAGCAAUUAGUAAUCAGAUAACAGUCAUCACACUAAGUAUCACUUCACGUAAGACCUCUCUCUAAACAAUCCAAUUGAAAUCCAGGUGAUCUAUCCAGGGGCUGUGGCUCUCAAAUGGGCCAUUUUAUAACCUAGGCACAGGUUAAUCAUCCUUAGCCUCCUUGGUGGGCCUUACCCAAGCUGCUGCUUACUGCUGACUUCCCAGCAGCCCCUGUUUUAUGGUUAGUUAAUUAUUCUUUACUAACAUUAAUGUACUCUGAAACUGGGACCAUCAAAUAAUAUACUGAAAGAGAUGUCAGUUCUCUUUUAUUGUUGUUGAACUGUUUUUUUCCCACACUUAGAACAAUUUUUGAGGGGAAGGAGAGGGAGCUGGGAUUGACAUGUGAAACAAGCUUAUUUCUAAUUUAAGUAAAAAAGAAUUGUUAUAAGCAUUUGUAAAAUAUGUUAACAUGUAUAGGAGCAGUUAACCCAAAUGAUACAGUCUUAUCUCCAUAGAAUUAAAAAAAUCAUAAUGGGUUUUUUGAGAGAACCUGAAACAUUUAUUAUUUUUUAAUUAUUUAACCCGAGGGCUGUAUAUAAUUGAGACCUCACAUAUAACAAUCUAGAGUUUUGGGUAGUGUUUGGGAUUAUAUCUGAUUUUCAAAGGUAUUUUUUAAGCUGUUAACCCUCACUACUAUCAUAACUUUAAUGAAAAACAGACUCAUGUAUUUCCUCAAUUAGUGAUGAAAACAAUAUACUUGGGUAUAUAUGUUCAGUUCCUAAGUUAAAAAAUAAAUAACUAGCUACUUUAGAUGUCCAUUAAAUUCUUAAUGGAGGUGAUGAUAAAAAAACAAUUUUUGUUCAGAAGAACCCUGAUGAAUACAUAAAUUCUAUCCAUUUACUUUACCUAGAGCUUUUCCUGAAUGUCCAAGGGGAUUAAAAUUAACCUCUAAAAUAUACAGUCCAUUGCUAUAGAAGAAAAUCUAGUAAAUCAGGAAAUCAAAGAGGGUAUGGGACUGACAAAACAUUAACCAAGAGUUUAACAUGAGUCCACACCCUCCAGGAAUUCGUGCACACUUACUGAAGUGAAGCUCUUUGUCAGUCUACCUCUGAACUCCUAGGACAAAUGCAGUCAGGGAAAUAGGAUUGAUCAUUAACUGAUAUAUCAAAUAUACACCUUAGACAAAAAGAUGCUGAAUUGUAAUUACUGAGCAGGAGGUCUCAAAAGCAAACAAAAAAGUCCCUAGAGUUUUCUCAUUGGAAAACAUACCACCCAGCCUCACCAACAAACUUUAAGGGAGAUCAAGGUCAAACUGUAGAUGAAGAGAAUGCAACUGAACUCGAGACUUCCCUGAGUUGCUAAGUCCUGCCCACCCCACUUUGCUUUCCCACCAGAACUCCUGUCUCUAAUAGAGCCCAAUAGAACACUGCACCACCCAGCUGUCUGAGCCCCUGAAGAUGACCACGUGACUAAGUGGUCUCUCUGGGUGAAGGCUGAAGCUCCACUGGUCCUCAGGACACAGAUAUGUGGGUGGCCGGUGUGUCUGGAGAAAGACUCCAAACAAUAUUCUAGAAAAACCCUAAACUCCAUGCAUAAAAGAGAGAUUAUUAUCUCUUUUGUUUCACCCAUAGCUCCUUAAACUUUGGGUCACGGCCCCGUAAUGAAUGAGAUGAUCCUCUAGAAUUCGGCAACAGCAAAAGGUUUUCUAAAGGUGUGUGAACAAUAAUAAGGCUCUCGAUGAAUCUCAGGAGUUUCAGUAGCUGUGACCCUGUGGGAUCAUGUGACCUUACCAUGACCUUGGUCCUGAGUCCGCAUGUGAACUUUAUGCUGUGCAAACCUCUGCAGUCAACAAUGCCUGAUACACUUUGGUUCAGAUCUGAUGCUAUUUCAUGGUAAGGGCAGUGGUGUUCCCGUUGACAGAGACUACUCUUACCAAAACAUGAUAGUUUAAUCAAAUAAGACCAAGGCUUAAAGAAAAUCUCCUACCAUCAUUUCUCAGCUUCUGAGUAUCAAAUUAGUAUGUCUUUGGACUGCUUUAUGUUAGAAUGUUUGAAUUUUAAAAGUCUGCUUGGUUACUGGCUUGAGUUUCUUCGUUAAAAAAUGUUAAAUUAAUUUUGACGUGGGAUCCAGACAGCAUUUCCAACCUUUUGUGAGACGGCCCCUUUGUACUCUGUGUUCCUGAAAAGUGGCAAUCUCAGCACUGACAAUUGCAAAAGCUGAAUAUUGAUCAACUCUGGAAAACAUUAAAGAUUCCCCAUGCCCUACAGUAUCAAAUUUUCAAUCCAGAUUCCAUUCUUUAUUUAAAAGUAACCCAGCAGAUCUAUCUUGUUAGAAUACAAAUUUGUGUCCAUCUUUAAUAAAUGGCAUAAGUGCAUGUAUGGCAAAGUUUUGUUUCACAAUAAAUUUCUUGGUGAUUUAUUAUCA